GCAUUGGUGGUUCAGUGGUAGAAUUCUCGCCUGCCCCGCGGGGAGGCCGGGUUGAUUCGGCCAAUGCA
This 68-nucleotide transfer RNA is filed under the name Alosa alosa (allis shad). Its description in RNAcentral is "tRNA-Gly". The record is from RNAcentral. Lineage: Eukaryota; Metazoa; Chordata; Actinopteri; Clupeiformes; Clupeidae.